This 77-nucleotide transfer RNA is filed under the name Sphaerodactylus townsendi. RNAcentral describes it as "tRNA-Ala". It matches the Rfam family "tRNA". From Rfam's summary of the family: Transfer RNA (tRNA) molecules are approximately 80 nucleotides in length. Their secondary structure includes four short double-helical elements and three loops (D, anti-codon, and T loops). Further hydrogen bonds mediate the characteristic L-shaped molecular structure. tRNAs have two regions of fundamental functional importance: the anti-codon, which is responsible for specific mRNA codon recognition, and the 3' end, to which the tRNAs corresponding amino acid is attached (by aminoacyl-tRNA synthetases). tRNAs cope with the degeneracy of the genetic code in two manners: having more than one tRNA (with a specific anti-codon) for a particular amino acid; and 'wobble' base-pairing, i.e. permitting non-standard base-pairing at the 3rd anti-codon position. Lineage: Eukaryota; Metazoa; Chordata; Lepidosauria; Squamata; Sphaerodactylidae. The record is from RNAcentral.
GGAGAGAGGCUGUGGCUCAGCGAUAGAGUAUCUGCUCAGCAUGCAGAAGGCUCCAGGUUCGAUCCCCGGCAUCUCCA